Molecule: non-coding RNA, 479 nt
Organism: Parasteatoda tepidariorum (common house spider)
Lineage: Eukaryota; Metazoa; Arthropoda; Arachnida; Araneae; Theridiidae
Source: RefSeq, a predicted model, not a curated record
UUGGUAGGGAUUAAAAAGGAAAAAAAGGCUUCAAUGUCUAAAGGUUGACUUUUAGGAAUUUCAUCCUCCGAGGGAGUAAGAGAAAAGAGGAAUUAAGAGGGGCAUAUCAUAAGAAGUAAACCACCUUGAAAGGAAGUGAAAUGAAGAGGAUUUACUGAUAGAAGCAAUGUUUUUUCUAGGGAUUAAAGAGGAAAAAAAGGCUUCAAUGACUAAAGGUUGACUUUUAGGAAUUUCAUCCUCCGAGGGAGUAAGAGAAAAGAGGAAUUAAGAGGGGCAUAUCAUAAGAAGUAAACCACCUUGAAAGGAAGUGAAAUGAAGACAAUUUACAGAUAGAAGCAAUGUUUUUUUCUAGGGAUUAAAGAGGAAAAAAGGCUUCAUUGUCUAAAGGUUUACUUUUAGGAUUUUAAUCUUACGAGGGAAUGAGAGAAAAGACGAAUUAAGAGGGGCACAUCAUAAGAAGUAAACCACCUUGAAAGGAA